RNAcentral lists this transfer RNA (77 nucleotides) under Chloroflexota bacterium. Its description in RNAcentral is "Chloroflexi bacterium (groundwater metagenome) tRNA-Val". The record is from RNAcentral. Lineage: Bacteria; Bacillati; Chloroflexota.
GGGCGGUUAGCUCAGCUGGCCAGAGCACUUCCUUCACACGGAAGGGGUCAUACGUUCAAGUCGUAUACCGCCCACCA